AAAAAAAAAAAUAUCCGCUCUGGACAAAAUUGAUCCAAUUCAAAGACGCCUUCAGAACGUUUGAAUCCAAUAAGAUGGGUGUGAAAACAAUACAACAAGAGAGACAUAACAGUUCUCAC
Molecule: non-coding RNA, 119 nt
Filed under: uncultured eukaryote
Lineage: Eukaryota
Source: RNAcentral